UACGGAGGAGGCAAGCGUUAUCCGGAAUUAUUGGGCGUAAAGCGUCCGCAGGUGGCUAGUCAAGUCGGUGGUCAAAGCACAGGGCUCAACUCUGUAAAGGCCGGCGAAACUGACAAGCUAGAGUGCGGUAGGGGCAGAGGGAAUUCCCGGUGUAGCGGUGAAAUGCGUAGAUAUCGGGAAGAACACCAGUAGCGAAAGCGCUCUGCUGGACCGCAACUGACACUCAGGGACGAAAGCUAGGGGAGCGAAUGGG
Molecule: ribosomal RNA, 253 nt
Filed under: uncultured bacterium
Lineage: Bacteria
Description: partial 16S ribosomal RNA
Rfam family: Bacterial small subunit ribosomal RNA
Source: RNAcentral